GACGAACGCUGGCGGCGUGCUUAACACAUGCAAGUCGAACGGAAAGGCCCCUUUGGGGGUACUCGAGUGGCGAACGGGUGAGUAACACGUGAGUAACCUGCCCUUGACUUCGGGAUAACUUCAGGAAACUGGGGCUAAUACCGGAUAGGAAUCCUUGCUGCAUGGUGGGGGUUGGAAAGCUUCGGCGGUUUUGGAUGGACUCGCGGCUUAUCAGCUUGUUGGUGGGGUAGUGGCUUACCAAGGCUUUGACGGGUAGCCGGCCUGAGAGGGCGACCGGCCACAUUGGGACUGAGAUGCGGCACAGACAGCUACGGGAGGCAGCAGUGGGGAAUAUUGAACAAUGGGCGGAAGCCUGAUGCAGCAACGCCGCGUGCGGGAUGACGGCCUUCGGGUUGUAAACCGCUUUCAGCAGGGGCGAAGCUUGUGGUGACGGUACCUGCAGAAGAAGCACCGGCUAACUACGUG
RNAcentral lists this ribosomal RNA (465 nucleotides) under uncultured bacterium. RNAcentral's name for it is "partial 16S ribosomal RNA". It matches the Rfam family "Bacterial small subunit ribosomal RNA", at positions 28 to 507 of the family's 1533-position model. The record is from RNAcentral.